CUUAAGUGGGGAAUAACGCAUCGAAAGGUGUGCUAAUACCGCAUAAUCUCUGAGGAGAAAAGCAGGGGAUCGCAAGACCUUGCGCUUUUGGAGCGGCCGAUGUCUGAUUAGCUUGUUGGUGAGGUAAAAGCUUACCAAGGCUUCGAUCAGUAGCUGGUCUGAGAGGACGACCAGCCACACUGGGACUGAGACACGGCCCAGACUCCUACGGGUGGCAGCAGUGGGGAAUUUUGGACAAUGGGGGCAACCCUGAUCCAGCCAUGCCGCGUGAGUGAAGAAGGCCUUCGGGUUGUAAAGCUCUUUCAGCCGGAACGAAACGGUUACGGUUAAUACCCGUGACUACUGACGGUACCGGAAGAAGAAGCACCGGCUAACUACGUGCCAGCAGCCGCGGUAAUACGUAGGGUGCGAGCGUUAAUCGGAAUUACUGGGCGUAAAGCGUGCGCAGGCGGUUUUGUAAGUCAGAUGUGAAAUCCCCGGGCUUAACCUGGGAACUGCGUUUGAAACUACAAGGCUAG
Molecule: ribosomal RNA, 518 nt
Filed under: uncultured bacterium
Lineage: Bacteria
Description: bacterial SSU rRNA
Rfam family: Bacterial small subunit ribosomal RNA
Source: RNAcentral